Molecule: ribosomal RNA, 742 nt
Filed under: uncultured fungus
Lineage: Eukaryota; Fungi
Description: SSU rRNA
Rfam family: Eukaryotic small subunit ribosomal RNA
Source: RNAcentral
AGGAAGGCAGCAGGCGCGCAAAUUACCCAAUGCUAAUUCAGCGAGGUAGUGACAAUAAAUACUGAUACGGGGCUCUUUCGGGUCUCGUAAUUGGAAUGAGUACAAUCUAAAUCCCUUAACGAGGAACAAUUGGAGGGCAAGUCUGGUGCCAGCAGCCGCGGUAAUUCCAGCUCCAAUAGCGUAUAUUAAAGUUGUUGCCGUUAAAAAGCUCGUAGUUGAACCUUGGACCUGGCUGAUCUGUCCUCCUAAUCGAGCGCACGGAUUCGGUCGGGUCUUUCCUUCUGGGGAGCCCUAUGCCCUUCACUGGGUGUAGUGGGGAACCAGGACUUUUACCUUGAAAAAAUUAGAGUGUUCAAAGCAGGCCUUUGCUCGAAUACAUUAGCAUGGAAUAAUAGAAUAGGACAUCGGUUCUAUUUUGUUGGUUUCUAGGACCGCUGUAAUGAUUAAUAGGGAUAGUCGGGGGCGUCAGUAUUCAAUUGUCAGAGGUGAAAUUCUUGGAUUUAUUGAAGACUAACUACUGCGAAAGCAUUCGCCAAGGAUGUUUUCAUUAAUCAGUGAACGAAAGUUAGGGGAUCGAAGACGAUCAGAUACCGUCGUAGUCUUAACCAUAAACUAUGCCGACUAGGGAUCGGACGGUGGUUUUUUUAUGCCCCGUUCGGCACCUUACGAGAAAUCAAAGUUUUUGGGCUCGGGGGGGAGUAUGGUCGCAAGGCUGAAACUUAAAGAAAUUGACGGAAGGGCA